GAUGAAGAACGCAGCGAAAUGCGAUACUUGGUGUGAAUUGCAGAAUCCCGUGAACCAUCGAGUCUUUGAACGCAAGUUGCGCCCGAAGCCAUUAGGCCGAGGGCACGCCUGCCUGGGCGUCACACGUCGUUGCCCCCCCAUCUACUCCUUCGGGAUUGCGGGGGGCGGAUGAUGGCCUCCCGUGCGCCUCGUCGCGCGGUUGGCAUAAAUGCCAAGUCCUCGGCGACGCACGCCACGACAAUCGGUGGUUGCGAAACCUCGGUUGCCCGUCGUGUGCGGUCGUCGCGCAUCGAGGGCUCGAAAAAAUUGCCGGGCUCUGUCUCGGCUUUCAACGCGACCCCAGGUCAGGCGGGGUUACCCGCUGAAUUUAAGCAUAUCAAUAAGCGGAGGA
RNAcentral lists this unclassified non-coding RNA (391 nucleotides) under soil metagenome. Its description in RNAcentral is "partial contains 5.8S ribosomal RNA, internal transcribed spacer 2, and large subunit ribosomal RNA". The stretch from base 1 to 122 matches the Rfam family "5.8S ribosomal RNA", at positions 35 to 154 of the family's 154-position model. The record is from RNAcentral.